AUGUGUGUCCCUGAUCUUUGUGUCCUUAAGAGUGUCGAAUUAGGUAAUAAAGAUUACAAUUUGGGAGCAAUUGUUACACGUAGGUUGCAUAAUAAUGGUUUAGUUGGAGAUUUAUUUGGAGGGAUUUAUGCGACCAGUGUUGCUAAUUAUCUUGGUAUAGCUCCACGUGAGGGUGAUAUUGAGUUAUCUUCCGCUUAUUUAGAUUAUGACGCUAUGGUUAGGCAUCGUUUUCUUGUGAGGAAUGAACAAUUCCUCCAAUAUCGACUAAUCUUUCACAGACGUUGCACUGUCCAUGUUACUCUCCCUGCUCCUUCCCUUUUUGAUUACCAGGCAAAAAAAAGAUAUGUUGUCACCAGGGAGGAGGCAACCAAACACGAGAGGAGAGCGGAGGCAGCUCGCCAACAUGCCGCAGCUCAGGAGGCAUUGGCUGCUGCAUCUCAGUACGACCCCAGUUAUAACUUCGGAUAUCAGCCAGGCUAUCAUUGGCAUUAG
RNAcentral lists this ribosomal RNA (492 nucleotides) under Triticum aestivum (bread wheat). RNAcentral describes it as "partial small subunit ribosomal RNA". The record is from RNAcentral. Lineage: Eukaryota; Viridiplantae; Streptophyta; Magnoliopsida; Poales; Poaceae.